GCCUGUGUGGCUCAGUGGUUGAGCGUCUGCCUUUGGCUCAGGGUGUGAUCCCAGAUCCUGGGAUCGAGUCCCACAUCAGGCU
Molecule: non-coding RNA, 82 nt
Organism: Canis lupus familiaris (dog)
Lineage: Eukaryota; Metazoa; Chordata; Mammalia; Carnivora; Canidae
Source: Rfam